Molecule: ribosomal RNA, 465 nt
Filed under: uncultured Klebsiella sp.
Lineage: Bacteria; Pseudomonadati; Pseudomonadota; Gammaproteobacteria; Enterobacterales; Enterobacteriaceae
Description: bacterial SSU rRNA
Rfam family: Bacterial small subunit ribosomal RNA
Source: RNAcentral
CCUACGGGUGGCAGCAGUGGGGAAUAUUGCACAAUGGGCGCAAGCCUGAUGCAGCCAUGCCGCGUGUGUGAAGAAGGCCUUCGGGUUGUAAAGCACUUUCAGCGGGGAGGAAGGCGUUAAGGUUAAUAACCUUGGCGAUUGACGUUACCCGCAGAAGAAGCACCGGCUAACUCCGUGCCAGCAGCCGCGGUAAUACGGAGGGUGCAAGCGUUAAUCGGAAUUACUGGGCGUAAAGCGCACGCAGGCGGUCUGUCAAGUCGGAUGUGAAAUCCCCGGGCUCAACCUGGGAACUGCAUUCGAAACUGGCAGGCUAGAGUCAUGUAGAGGGGGGUAGAAUUCCAGGUGUAGCGGUGAAAUGCGUAGAGAUCUGGAGGAAUACCGGUGGCGAAGGCGGCCCCCUGGACAAAGACUGACGCUCAGGUGCGAAAGCGUGGGGAGCAAACAGGAUUAGAUACCCCGGUAGUC